GAAAAAACUCUGGGUGUCGACUUGUCAGUUUACGGGACAUCCAAAGUUGUAGGAACUCAAGCACCUGUCCAGUUGGGAUCCCUUCGUGCAGCGGAUGGCAAAGAGUGAAGUUGGUGAACUCUGUUAUUCCUUGUCAUCUUAUUAGUUUGGCGAGGGAGAAUUAUCGGUUGUGUAGCCUCAAGUUUAGUAUAUUGGCUUGUUAUUGUUGUUUGAAACUAUUUAGGGCAUUUGUUUCUCCUCAAGCUUUGCCUUAUGUUGGUAUAUAUAUGGUGUAGUACACCUGACAUUAUAUUUUGCUUGGAAAUCUUACUUCCAUUGUAUCGGAC
RNAcentral lists this unclassified non-coding RNA (326 nucleotides) under Hevea brasiliensis (rubber tree). Lineage: Eukaryota; Viridiplantae; Streptophyta; Magnoliopsida; Malpighiales; Euphorbiaceae. The record is from RNAcentral.